UGAAGUCUCUUUCAAAAUCUCUGUUAAUGUUUGAAACAUGUCAAAAAUCCCAAUUUUUACUCAUUGUUCCCAUAAUUCUAGUUUGGCUUUGAAUGCAUCUGCUUUAUCUGCUGAUGUGAAUACAGUUGUCAUCCUUUCUUGAAGUAAUAAAUUGAGUUUGUUGAGCAAGUUGAAUAUGUUAUGUGAGUAGGCAGAUUUACAACCUAUUCUGCGUCACUGAAAUGUGCUGCCAGUUGUGACUAUUUUUCUAAAACAAAUGUUAGGAGCAGCUCUCAUAACUCAGAAAGUCUGGUCAGUUUUCUACCCUUACAAAGCUGUCUCACUUCAGUGCAUAAGAGAAGGUGUGGGUAUUCUAAGUCAACCCCCUCAUAGAGUUACAUGGACACACGCGAGCUAAGAGCAUAUACUUUUAUGUCACUGAUAAUUUUAAUACAUCUUGCAAAACUUUAUUAAGUCCAGUUGACAUUUUUUUGCAGGACAUUGUGCAUAGACUCAUGUUUAGGAGUCCCCACUUUGAUCCAAGUAGUGAAAUCAGAAAGCUGGCAGCCUCUCUGUUUGUGCAUAAACAAAAAGACCAAUUCAAUUUUCCUGAUAUAUAAUCACUCAAAGACUUGAGUAGUUCUGCAGCUGUGUGGUGGUUAGCAAUAAAAGUGCACAUGAUACAGCCCUAUGUACAUCUUCCUGAAAAAUACAUUGCGCAAAAACAAGCAUUAUUAUUUGUCAAUAUGAGUAGAUACGCCAACAUGGGUUUUGUACAAGGGCGACUCAUUAAUCCUCUCUAAUAAUUGUGUUUUGAUAUCUUUUGCUAUUUCAGCAAUUUGCCUAACGGUGCCAACUGAAAGAGGAACACCGACUACCUUUUGAACUGCAGCCUCUCCUAAAAUUUCAUGACAAAUGUCUUUAGCAACAGGGACUAAGAUCAUUCACCAGUGGUUUAUAAUUCACAGCAGAAACCGCUCACAUAACAAGAGAUUUGAGACAGAGGCAGCCUGACUUCUCCAGAACUUCCCUACGAGGCAGUGCUCAGGACUCAUGAAGUUGCCUUGACACUAGGUGGAGCCAUGGAUUGAGAUUAGGUGCUUCAAAGAAUGAUUGUCGUAUGUUCAGAAACCAACCCAAAGGAGAAGGAGAUAACAUAAGAAGGCAAAGCCCAAGCUGUGGUUUUACAAGAUGAUGGAGAUAGAUGUCAUCUCUCUGUGCCUAUCAUGAAAGAAGGUUUAUCUUAUUUUGCCAUGAGCUGGCUGAAAAUGCCUUUGACCACUCUGUCUCCAUUUGUAUAGUGGAGAGGAAGUGUUUGAAUCUAGGCCUCUUCAGUUACAACUUGAGGUGCUGAGAGAGCAUUUGAGAGAAGAAAGAAUGGUAAAGAAGGGAGACAAAGAGGAAUAAAAGGACAUCACCUUGAACGGGACAUUGGCAGUCCUUUCAGAGCAGCUGCUUUUGGACAUUGUAACAAGCAUGUGAUGCACUUGUAUUUUUAUGCCCAGGGGCCUGGUGUCAGGAGAAUCUGCUCAGCCUCUUUGUUAUGGUCAUUCAAGCCAUCCACAAAGACCAUGUAUAAUAGGGGUAUGCAGAGUUCUCCAGCCUUCAAAGGACUGCCUUUCUAAUUAAUAUCCUAAUAACUUUCAGCCUUGUGCCUUUAUACAACUCUAAUAAGGUCAGUCUCCAACUUUUUCUUCCUGGUGAUUUCUAGGAAUUCCCAAGGAAUACUUACCACCAACCUCCAAGGAACCCCAUUGGUAGUCGUCUUGUAAUUUCCCCAAACAGGGAACAGAGGGCAACAUUUAAUACAAUUUUACUGGAAGAGAUUUAGGAAUAAUGGACAGAAAUAGCAACGGAGAAAAGAAAAAUAUCAAAGUGAAUCCUCCACAAUGUGCCUUAUCCUAACCUCACAUGAGGGUUAUCUCCCCUUCAGCCCUUACCGCUCUACCAUGUGGUAGGAAUCAAACUUCUUACAGACAAGAAGAACCCUUGAUCAUGACUUCCCUUCUCAGACCUCGGAGAAACAGUCUCCGGGCUGCAAUUCUACUCACAGUAAAGAAAACUUUUUUUUUUUUUUAAUGUAAUCAGUUCAUUUUAUGUUUAGUGCU
Chinchilla lanigera (long-tailed chinchilla) is the source of this 2087-nucleotide long non-coding RNA. RefSeq lists it as uncharacterized. The transcript is spliced from 5 exons. The record is from RefSeq and is a predicted model, not a curated record. Lineage: Eukaryota; Metazoa; Chordata; Mammalia; Rodentia; Chinchillidae.